ACACAUGCAAGCCACAUGCACACAAAUGCAGACAGACUAUAAAGUGGAUUAUAGGACUGUGUAUGUCCUACACACACAUUAUAUGUCCUACACGCACAGUGAUGAGGAGUGACAAAAUGAAGACUCCAGAAUCCUCUUUAUCAGAUCCUGAAUGUGCACUUUCUGAAGUGAAGUCCACUAUGUGCUGGGCACACAGAGAAUAGAGCAUGAAACAAAAGCAACAUGACCCUGCCCUCACCAAGACUACAGGGAGUGAUGGAGCAUACAACUUUGUUUCAGAAUGCAAUUCAGAUCUUCCCUUUCGCUUGGCUUCUUAAAACUUCUUUUGAGGAUGGUAAAAUUUCGUGUUAUAUUAAAUUUCAUCCUGUAACUGAUACUCUGGGAUGAUGUUGGCCAAUAACUAGCAAGACUUUAAAUAAUCAACUAGUUUAGGCAUUGCUUAGCACGCUCCAGCUGACUUCACAAGUAAAACCAUGUGAAGAAAGAAGGUUUUCAGCUUAUAAUAGUCUCAGAGGCAACAUGGCCAGCAUAAAAGUAGAACAACAGAACAGAAUGAAACAUAAGAAAACAGAAACAAACAAGUAGAAGCUCAAAUAUCCACACAACUAAAAGUGGCGAUGAUAAUAAAAUCUGGCUCUGGUGACAUAAGCGGAAGUUGUUGUGUGGAACGUGCAGGAGGACUCCUUCAAAAGGAAUAUGGACAGGGAGUGCACACUUUUCCAGCCUUCUUGUCUCAUUCCUUCUUGCUGCCAGGAACAAUGACAUGAGAACUGGAGCGCUAACAGCCAUUCAGAUCAUGAGGCAACAUUAAGGAUGAAAACCACACACUGAGGAUGAUGGAGCAGAAAAAACGGAGAGAAGGAGAUUUUCUGACCAUCCCAUGGUGCCAGUUGACACACCUGGACUGCCUACUUCUGACUCUCUUGUAUUUGAAAUAAUACAUUUUGUUGUGUUUAAUCACUACUAUUUUGGAUUUUCUGUUGUAUGCAGCUGAAUUUAGUUCUAAUUGAUGUAGACAAGUCUGUCUGUAACUAGAUGCAUGUGGAAAAUAAAACUUUUAUGGGAAAAAUACAGAAUUAUGGAAUCAAAUUCUAUAUUUUUUGCUUUUGCCGCA
This 1114-nucleotide long non-coding RNA is filed under the name Homo sapiens (human). Its description in RNAcentral is "non-protein coding MEF2C-AS1:50". Lineage: Eukaryota; Metazoa; Chordata; Mammalia; Primates; Hominidae. The record is from RNAcentral.